Molecule: ribosomal RNA, 253 nt
Filed under: uncultured bacterium
Lineage: Bacteria
Description: partial 16S ribosomal RNA
Rfam family: Bacterial small subunit ribosomal RNA
Source: RNAcentral
UACGUAGGGACCAAGCGUUGUUCGGAUUUACUGGGCGUAAAGGGCGCGUAGGCGGCGCGGUAAGUCACUUGUGAAAUCUCCGGGCUUAACUCGGAACGGCCAAGUGAAACUGUCAUGCUAGAGUGCAGAAGGGGCAAUCGGAAUUCUUGGUGUAGCGGUGAAAUGCGUAGAUAUCAAGAGGAACACCUGAGGUGAAGACGGGUUGCUGGGCUGACACUGACGCUGAGGCGCGAAAGCGUGGGGAGCAAACAGG